Molecule: long non-coding RNA, 248 nt
Filed under: Mytilus galloprovincialis (Mediterranean mussel)
Lineage: Eukaryota; Metazoa; Mollusca; Bivalvia; Mytilida; Mytilidae
Source: RNAcentral
UUUGCGGACUGUUUUCGUCUUUCCUCCUUUAACUUUUGGUUAUGGCGUUGUCUCUUUUUUUCAACUUCUGAUUUUUUAUUGUAACUCACUUUGAUAUCUUUUUCACUUAUUCGCUACAGUUCUGUCUUUGUCUACAGUUUUUUUGUAUAGUUCAUUGUCUAUAAUAGUAGUUUUAUAGUUCAUUUUGCGCGACUGUCUUUAAAUUCUAUGUUGAUAAAUUAAACAAAAAAUACCAAAUUCAAUUAUGC